UACAGAGGAUGCAAGCGUUAUCCGGAAUGAUUGGGCGUAAAGCGUCUGUAGGUGGCUUUUUAAGUCCGCCGUCAAAUCCCAGGGCUCAACUCUGGACAGGCGGUGGAAACUACCAAGCUGGAGUUCGGUAGGGGAGAUCGGAAUUCCUGGUGUAGCGGUGAAAUGCGCAGAUAUCAGGAGGAACACCGGUGGCGAAGGCGGAUCUCUGGGCCGAUACUGACGCUGAGGAGCGAAAGCGUGGGGAGCGAACAGG
This 253-nucleotide ribosomal RNA is filed under the name uncultured bacterium. RNAcentral describes it as "partial 16S ribosomal RNA". It matches the Rfam family "Bacterial small subunit ribosomal RNA", at positions 524 to 776 of the family's 1533-position model. The record is from RNAcentral.